GUGGGGAAUAUUGGACAAUGGGCGCAAGCCUGAUCCAGCCAUGCCGCGUGUGUGAAGAAGGCCUUCGGGUUGUAAAGCACUUUUGUCCGGGAAGAAAUCUUCCAGGUUAAUACCCUGGGAGGCUGACGGUACCGGAAGAAUAAGCACCGGCUAACUUCGUGUCAGCAGCCGCGGUAAUACGAAGGGUGCAAGCGUUACUCGGAAUUACUGGGCGUAAAGCGUGCGUAGGUGGUUCGUUAAGUCUGCCGUGAAAGCCCCGGGCUCAACCUGGGAAUGGCGGUGGAUACUGGCGGGCUAGGGGGCGGUAGAGGGUGGUGGAAUUCCCGGUGUAGCAGUGAAAUGCGUAGAGAUCGGGAGGAACAUCUGUGGCGAAGGCGGCCACCUGGACCAGCACUGACACUGAGGCACGAAAGCGUGGGGAGCAAACAGGAUUAGAAACCCGAGUAGUCC
This 450-nucleotide ribosomal RNA is filed under the name uncultured bacterium. RNAcentral's name for it is "partial 16S ribosomal RNA". It matches the Rfam family "Bacterial small subunit ribosomal RNA", at positions 354 to 796 of the family's 1533-position model. The record is from RNAcentral.